RNAcentral lists this ribosomal RNA (457 nucleotides) under uncultured Sphingobacteriales bacterium. Its description in RNAcentral is "bacterial SSU rRNA". It matches the Rfam family "Bacterial small subunit ribosomal RNA", at positions 924 to 1382 of the family's 1533-position model. Lineage: Bacteria; Pseudomonadati; Bacteroidota; Sphingobacteriia; Sphingobacteriales. The record is from RNAcentral.
CACAAGCGGAGGAACUAUGUGGUUUAAUUCGAUGAUACGCGAGGAACCUUACCUGGGCUUAAAUGGGGAGUGACAGCUGUCGAAAGAUGGUUUUCUUCGGACACUCUUCAAGGUGCUGCAUGGUUGUCGUCAGCUCGUGCCGUGAGGUGUCGGGUUAAGUCCCAUAACGAGCGCAACCCUUACCGUUAGUUACCAUCAGGUUAAGCUGGGGACUCUAGCGGGACUGCCACCGUAAGGUGAGAGGAAGGUGGGGAUGACGUCAAAUCAGCACGGCCCUUAUGUCCAGGGCUACACACGUGUUACAAUGGCCAGUACAAAGGGCAGCUACCGGGUGACCGGAUGCUAAUCUCUUAAAGCCAAUCUCAGUUCGGAUUGUAGGCUGCAACUCGCCUACAUGAAGUCGGAAUCGCUAGUAAUCGCGGAUCAGCACGCCGCGGUGAAUACGUUCCCGGGCCUU